AGACCCCACGAGAAUCGCACUGUCUCCUCUCUUCAAUCAGUGAAAUUAAUCCUCUCGUGCAAAAGCGAGCAUCACCUUAUAAGACGAAAAGACCCUGUGGAGCUUAAAACAUCAAACACCUAUUUAAAUUAUCUACUACCCACACACUUAUAAUAGCAUGAUUAAAAGUUUUUGGUUGGGGUGACCGUGGAGAAAAACCUAACCUCCAAGAUGAAUUAGAACUUUCCUUAAUUUAGAGCCACAACUCUUUACAUUAGUACACUAACACAAAUUGACCCUUCUUGAUCAACGAACCAAGUUACCCCAGGGAUAACAGCGCAAUCUACUUUGAGAGCACAUAUCGACAGGUAGG
This 352-nucleotide ribosomal RNA is filed under the name Adelophryne sp. 5 AF-2012. RNAcentral describes it as "partial 16S ribosomal RNA". It matches the Rfam family "Bacterial large subunit ribosomal RNA", at positions 1997 to 2516 of the family's 2925-position model. Lineage: Eukaryota; Metazoa; Chordata; Amphibia; Anura; Eleutherodactylidae. The record is from RNAcentral.